Molecule: ribosomal RNA, 2483 nt
Filed under: Escherichia coli
Lineage: Bacteria; Pseudomonadati; Pseudomonadota; Gammaproteobacteria; Enterobacterales; Enterobacteriaceae
Description: partial 23S ribosomal RNA
Rfam family: Bacterial large subunit ribosomal RNA
Source: RNAcentral
UCCUGACUGACCGAUAGUGAACCAGUACCGUGAGGGAAAGGCGAAAAGAACCCCGGCGAGGGGAGUGAAAAAGAACCUGAAACCGUGUACGUACAAGCAGUGGGAGCCUCUUAAUGGGGUGACUGCGUACCUUUUGUAUAAUGGGUCAGCGACUUAUAUUCUGUAGCAAGGUUAACCGAAUAGGGGAGCCGAAGGGAAACCGAGUCUUAACUGGGCGUUAAGUUGCAGGGUAUAGACCCGAAACCCGGUGAUCUAGCCAUGGGCAGGUUGAAGGUUGGGUAACACUAACUGGAGGACCGAACCGACUAAUGUUGAAAAAUUAGCGGAUGACUUGUGGCUGGGGGUGAAAGGCCAAUCAAACCGGGAGAUAGCUGGUUCUCCCCGAAAGCUAUUUAGGUAGCGCCUCGUGAAUUCAUCUCCGGGGGUAGAGCACUGUUUCGGCAAGGGGGUCAUCCCGACUUACCAACCCGAUGCAAACUGCGAAUACCGGAGAAUGUUAUCACGGGAGACACACGGCGGGUGCUAACGUCCGUCGUGAAGAGGGAAACAACCCAGACCGCCAGCUAAGGUCCCAAAGUCAUGGUUAAGUGGGAAACGAUGUGGGAAGGCCCAGACAGCCAGGAUGUUGGCUUAGAAGCAGCCAUCAUUUAAAGAAAGCGUAAUAGCUCACUGGUCGAGUCGGCCUGCGCGGAAGAUGUAACGGGGCUAAACCAUGCACCGAAGCUGCGGCAGCGACACUAUGUGUUGUUGGGUAGGGGAGCGUUCUGUAAGCCUGUGAAGGUGGCCUGUGAGGGUUGCUGGAGGUAUCAGAAGUGCGAAUGCUGACAUAAGUAACGAUAAAGCGGGUGAAAAGCCCGCUCGCCGGAAGACCAAGGGUUCCUGUCCAACGUUAAUCGGGGCAGGGUGAGUCGACCCCUAAGGCGAGGCCGAAAGGCGUAGUCGAUGGGAAACAGGUUAAUAUUCCUGUACUUGGUGUUACUGCGAAGGGGGGACGGAGAAGGCUAUGUUGGCCGGGCGACGGUUGUCCCGGUUUAAGCGUGUAGGCUGGUUUUCCAGGCAAAUCCGGAAAACCAAGGCUGAGGCGUGAUGACGAAGCACUACGGUGCUGAAGCGACAAAUGCCCUGCUUCCAGGAAAAGCCUCUAAGCAUCAGGUAACAUCAAAUCGUACCCCAAACCGACACAGGUGGUCAGGUAGAGAAUACCAAGGCGCUUGAGAGAACUCGGGUGAAGGAACUAGGCAAAAUGGUGCCGUAACUUCGGGAGAAGGCACGCUGAUAUGUAGGUGAAGCGACUUGCUCGUGGAGCUGAAAUCAGUCGAAGAUACCAGCUGGCUGCAACUGUUUAUUAAAAACACAGCACUGUGCAAACACGAAAGUGGACGUAUACGGUGUGACGCCUGCCCGGUGCCGGAAGGUUAAUUGAUGGGGUUAGCGGCAACGCGAAGCUCUUGAUCGAAGCCCCGGUAAACGGCGGCCGUAACUAUAACGGUCCUAAGGUAGCGAAAUUCCUUGUCGGGUAAGUUCCGACCUGCACGAAUGGCGUAAUGAUGGCCAGGCUGUCUCCACCCGAGACUCAGUGAAAUUGAACUCGCUGUGAAGAUGCAGUGUACCCGCGGCAAGACGGAAAGACCCCGUGAACCUUUACUAUAGCUUGACACUGAACAUUGAGCCUUGAUGUGUAGGAUAGGUGGGAGGCUUUGAAGUGUGGACGCCAGUCUGCAUGGAGCCGACCUUGAAAUACCACCCUUUAAUGUUUGAUGUUCUAACGUUGGCCCGUAAUCCGGGUUGCGGACAGUGUCUGGUGGGUAGUUUGACUGGGGCGGUCUCCUCCUAAAGAGUAACGGAGGAGCACGAAGGUUGGCUAAUCCUGGUCGGACAUCAGGAGGUUAGUGCAAUGGCAUAAGCCAGCUUGACUGCGAGCGUGACGGCGCGAGCAGGUGCGAAAGCAGGUCAUAGUGAUCCGGUGGUUCUGAAUGGAAGGGCCAUCGCUCAACGGAUAAAAGGUACUCCGGGGAUAACAGGCUGAUACCGCCCAAGAGUUCAUAUCGACGGCGGUGUUUGGCACCUCGAUGUCGGCUCAUCACAUCCUGGGGCUGAAGUAGGUCCCAAGGGUAUGGCUGUUCGCCAUUUAAAGUGGUACGCGAGCUGGGUUUAGAACGUCGUGAGACAGUUCGGUCCCUAUCUGCCGUGGGCGCUGGAGAACUGAGGGGGGCUGCUCCUAGUACGAGAGGACCGGAGUGGACGCAUCACUGGUGUUCGGGUUGUCAUGCCAAUGGCACUGCCCGGUAGCUAAAUGCGGAAGAGAUAAGUGCUGAAAGCAUCUAAGCACGAAACUUGCCCCGAGAUGAGUUCUCCCUGAGACUUAGAGUCUCCUGAAGGAACGUUGAAGACGACGACGUUGAUAGGCCGGGUGUGUAAGCGCAGCGAUGCGUUGAGCUAACCGGUACUAAUGAACCGUGAGGCUUAACCUUACAACGCCGAAG